This 411-nucleotide ribosomal RNA is filed under the name Verrucomicrobiota bacterium. RNAcentral describes it as "Verrucomicrobia bacterium partial 16S ribosomal RNA". It matches the Rfam family "Bacterial small subunit ribosomal RNA", at positions 355 to 776 of the family's 1533-position model. Lineage: Bacteria; Pseudomonadati; Verrucomicrobiota. The record is from RNAcentral.
UGGGGAAUAUUGCACAAUGGACGGAAGUCUGAUGCAGCGACGCCGCGUGGGGGAUGAAGGCUUUCGGGUUGUAAACUCCUUUCAGUACAGAAGAAGCUUUAUUGUGACGGUAUGUGCAGAAGAAGCGCCGGCUAACUACGUGCCAGCAGCCGCGGUAAUACGUAGGGCGCGAGCGUUGUCCGGAAUUAUUGGGCGUAAAGAGCUUGUAGGCGGUUCGUCGCGUCUGGUGUGAAAGCCCAUCGCUUAACGGUGGGUUUGCGCCGGGUACGGGCGGGCUAGAGUGCAGUAGGGGAGACUGGAAUUCCCGGUGUAACGGUGGAAUGUGUAGAUAUCGGGAAGAACACCAAUGGCGAAGGCAGGUCUCUGGGCUGUUACUGACGCUGAGAAGCGAAAGCGUGGGGAGCGAACAGG